AUUGAACGCUGGCGGCAGGCCUAACACAUGCAAGUCGAGCGGAUGGAGGGAGCUUGCUCCUGGAUUCAGCGGCGGACGGGUGAGUAAUGCCUAGGAAUCUGCCUGGUAGUGGGGGAUAACGUCCGGAAACGGGCGCUAAUACCGCAUACGUCCUGAGGGAGAAAGUGGGGGAUCUUCGGACCUCACGCUAUCAGAUGAGCCUAGGUCGGAUUAGCUAGUUGGUGGGGUAAAGGCCUACCAAGGCGACGAUCCGUAACUGGUCUGAGAGGAUGAUCAGUCACACUGGAACUGAGACACGGUCCAGACUCCUACGGGAGGCAGCAGUGGGGAAUAUUGGACAAGGGGCGAAAGCCUGAUCCAGCCAUGCCGCGUGUGUGAAGAAGGUCUUCGGAUUGUAAAGCACUUUAAGUUGGGAGGAAGGGCAGUAAGUUAAUACCUUGCUGUUUUGACGUUACCAACAGAAUAAGCACCGGCUAACUUCGU
RNAcentral lists this ribosomal RNA (483 nucleotides) under uncultured bacterium. Its description in RNAcentral is "partial 16S ribosomal RNA". It matches the Rfam family "Bacterial small subunit ribosomal RNA", at positions 30 to 506 of the family's 1533-position model. The record is from RNAcentral.